GACGAACGCUGGCAGCGUGCUUAACACAUGCAAGUCGAACGGAAAGGCCUUUUCGGCGGUACUCGAGUGGCGAACGGGUGAGUAACACGUGGGUGAUCUGCCCUGCACUCUGGGAUAAGCCUGGGAAACUGGGUCUAAUACCGGAUAGGACCGCACUUUAGUGUGUUUGGUGGAAAGUUUUUUCGGUGUAGGAUGAGCCCGCGGCCUAUCAGCUUGUUGGUGGGGUAAUGGCCUACCAAGGCGGCGACGGGUAGCCGGACUGAGAGGUUGGUCGGCCACAUUGGGACUGAGAUACGGCCCAGACUCCUACGGGAGGCAGCAGUGGGGAAUAUUGCACAAUGGGCGCAAGCCUGAUGCAGCGACGCCGCGUGGGGGAUGACGGCCUUCGGGUUGUAAACUCCUUUCGCCAGGGACGAAGCGUUUUGUGACGGUACCUGGAGAAGAAGCACCGGCUAACUACGUG
Molecule: ribosomal RNA, 463 nt
Filed under: uncultured bacterium
Lineage: Bacteria
Description: partial 16S ribosomal RNA
Rfam family: Bacterial small subunit ribosomal RNA
Source: RNAcentral